RNAcentral lists this ribosomal RNA (425 nucleotides) under uncultured bacterium. RNAcentral's name for it is "partial 16S ribosomal RNA". It matches the Rfam family "Bacterial small subunit ribosomal RNA", at positions 354 to 796 of the family's 1533-position model. The record is from RNAcentral.
GUGGGGAAUCUUAGACAAUGGGGGAAACCCUGAUCUAGCCAUGCCGCGUGAGCGAUGAAGGCCUUAGGGUUGUAAAGCUCUUUCAGAUGGGAAGAUAAUGACGGUACCAUCAGAAGAAGCCCCGGCUAACUCCGUGCCAGCAGCCGCGGUAAUACGGAGGGGGCUAGCGUUGUUCGGAAUUACUGGGCGUAAAGCGCACGUAGGCGGACCAGAAAGUCAGAGGUGAAAUCCCAGGGCUCAACCUUGGAACUGCCUUUGAAACUCCUGGUCUUGAGGUCGAGAGAGGUGAGUGGAAUUCCGAGUGUAGAGGUGAAAUUCGUAGAUAUUCGGAGGAACACCAGUGGCGAAGGCGGCUCACUGGCUCGAUACUGACGCUGAGGUGCGAAAGCGUGGGGAGCAAACAGGAUUAGAUACCCUUGUAGUCC